GACGAACGCUGGCGGCGUGCUUAACACAUGCAAGUCGAACGGAGUUACGUAUGAAGUAUUUCGGUACGGACUAUGUAACUUAGUGGCGAACGGGUGAGUAACACGUGGGCAACCUGCCCUUAACCGGGGGAUAACAUUGUGAAAACAGUGCUAAUACCGCAUAACAGAGUAUCGGGCAUCCGAUAUUUUAAAAGGAGCAAUCCGGUUUAGGAUGGGCCCGCGUCCAAUUAGCUAGUUGGUGAGGUAACGGCUCACCAAGGCUACGAUUGGUAGCCGAACUGAGAGGUUGAUCGGCCACAUUGGGACUGAGACACGGCCCAGACUCCUACGGGAGGCAGCAGUGGGGAAUAUUGGGCAAUGGGCGAAAGCCUGACCCAGCGACGCCGCGUGAAGGAUGAAGGUCUUCGGAUUGUAAACUUCUUUGAUCAGGGAAGAAAGAAAUGACGGUACCUGAAGAACAAGCCACGGCUAACUACGUG
RNAcentral lists this ribosomal RNA (479 nucleotides) under uncultured bacterium. Its description in RNAcentral is "bacterial SSU rRNA". It matches the Rfam family "Bacterial small subunit ribosomal RNA", at positions 28 to 507 of the family's 1533-position model. The record is from RNAcentral.